RNAcentral lists this ribosomal RNA (277 nucleotides) under uncultured eukaryote. RNAcentral describes it as "partial 18S ribosomal RNA". It matches the Rfam family "Eukaryotic small subunit ribosomal RNA", at positions 21 to 299 of the family's 1831-position model. The record is from RNAcentral.
UAGUCAUAUGCUUGUCUCAAAGAUUAAGCCAUGCAUGUCUAAGUAUAAACACUUGUACUGUGAAACUGCGAAUGGCUCAUUAAAUCAGUUAUAGUUUAUUUGAUAGUCUCUUACUACAUGGAUAACCGUGGUAAUUCUAGAGCUAAUACAUGCAUAAAAGCCCGACUUCUGGAAGGGCUGUAUUUAUUAGAUAAAAAACCAAUGCGGGCAACCGCUUUCUUGGUGAUUCAUAAUAACUUUUCGAAUCGUUUAGGCCUUGUGUCGACGAUGUUUCAUU